Molecule: ribosomal RNA, 484 nt
Filed under: uncultured bacterium
Lineage: Bacteria
Description: partial 16S ribosomal RNA
Rfam family: Bacterial small subunit ribosomal RNA
Source: RNAcentral
AUUGAACGCUGGCGGCAGGCCUAACACAUGCAAGUCGAGCGGAUGAAGGGAGCUUGCUCCUGGAUUCAGCGGCGGACGGGUGAGUAAUGCCUAGGAAUCUGCCUGGUAGUGGGGGAUAACGUCCGGAAACGGGCGCUAAUACCGCAUACGUCCUGAGGGAGAAAGUGGGGGAUCUUCGGACCUCACGCUAUCAGAUGAGCCUAGGUCGGAUUAGCUAGUUGGUGGGGUAAAGGCCUACCAAGGCGACGAUCCGUAACUGGUCUGAGAGGAUGAUCAGUCACACUGGAACUGAGACACGGUCCAGACUCCUACGGGAGGCAGCAGUGGGGAAUAUUGGACAAUGGGCGAAAGCCUGAUCCAGCCAUGCCGCGUGUGUGAAGAAGGCCUUCGGAUUGUAAAGCACUUUAAGUUGGGAGGAAGGGCAGUAAGUUAAUACCUUACUGUUUUGACGUUACCAACAGAAUAAGCACCGGCUAACUUCGUG